Long non-coding RNA from Drosophila persimilis, 674 nucleotides. RefSeq lists it as uncharacterized. Lineage: Eukaryota; Metazoa; Arthropoda; Insecta; Diptera; Drosophilidae. The record is from RefSeq and is a predicted model, not a curated record. The transcript is spliced from 2 exons.
UAUAAGAGAAAUUGUAAGUGAUAAUAUCUGAGGAAGAUGGUUCUGGACAUAAGCACGCAGGCGAUAGAGGCAAAUAUCAAUAAAAUAUAUGCUAAGAUUGAAGAAUUUGAAGAAGAAUUAGAGGGGAAUGCCGAUUAUGAAACCUGCAGUAAAAUUCAGGCUGAAAUUAAUCAAAUGAGCGCUUAUCUUGGACAGAUAUUAGGCUUACUAAAGGAAGACCAAAGCCACAAAGAAAACUGAAACUAAGUCAUUGGGACCCAAAGAAGGCAAUACAGAACCCGAGAAAAAUCAUUGCCGAUCAAUGAUCGAAUGGAUCGAAUUCAGGCCCACUUCCACGUAAUCUUCAACGGACAGCACUAAGAAACUCUUAUACUCGUAUACUUCCAUGAACUAUCAAAAAUGAAACAAAUGGACAAAGACAGUGGCACGAAGGCAUCCAAAGCCAGAUACAAAUCUGAGCCGAUCGAUCAGUGGAUUAUAUUCAGGCUUACUUGCACGUAACCUUCCACGGAAAACACUAACAAGUUCUUAGAUUCGUACUACCACACAACAUAAAGCAGUUUAUUCCUUUAGAUACUAGUAAUAUACGUACAGUAUUAUGGCGGACAACAGAGAAAAUUUUUGAAUGGAACGGAUGCCUGACUCCGAUUACUGCAAUAAAUAGCUCAACUAUA